AGAGUUUGAUCAUGGCUCAGAACGAACGCUGGCGGCGUGCUUAACACAUGCAAGUCGAACGCGAAAGGGACUUCGGUCCCGAGUAGAGUGGCGCACGGGUGAGUAACGCGUAAGUAAUCUACCCCUGUAUCUGGAAUAACCCACCGAAAGGUGAGCUAAUACCGGAUACGUUUAUCUUGAUGCGAAUGAUGAUAAAGAAAGGUGGCCUCUUCAUGAAAGCUACCGUACAGGGACGAGCUUGCGUACCAUUAGCUGGUUGGUAGGGUAAUGGCCUACCAAGGCGACGAUGGUUAGCGGGUCUGAGAGGAUGAUCCGCCACACUGGAACUGAAACACGGACCAGACUCCUACGGGAGGCAGCAGUGAGGAAUAUUGCGCAAUGGGGGCAACCCUGACGCAGCGACGCCGCGUGGACGAUGAAGGCCCUUGGGUCGUAAAAUCCUGUCAGAUGGAAAGAAAUGUACAGGUGUUAAUAUCGCCCGUAUUUGACGGUACCAUCAAAGGAAGCACCGGCUAACUCCGUGCCAGCAGCCGCGGUAAUACGGAGGGUGCGAGCGUUGUUCGGAAUUACUGGGCGUAAAGCGCGCGUAGGCGGUUUGCUAAGUCAGAUGUGAAAGCCCUCGGCUUAACCGGGGACGUGCAUUUGAAACUGGCAGACUUGAGUACUGGAGGGGGUG
This 676-nucleotide ribosomal RNA is filed under the name bacterium enrichment culture clone F7 1.713-14. RNAcentral's name for it is "bacterial SSU rRNA". It matches the Rfam family "Bacterial small subunit ribosomal RNA", at positions 8 to 660 of the family's 1533-position model. The record is from RNAcentral.